CUGCCCAAAACCACGGGGGUAGUCGGCUGGGAGCACCUGCGGGGAUGGGGACUGGGGGGACACGGGGCGCACUGCUCACCUUUCAUCCAGUCGACCACCUGGCUCGGCGACCACUUACUGACGGGCUCCAUAAUGAGGGCCAUGGGGGCUCGGCUGCGCGGGGCUCGGGCGGCCGCCGCUCUCCGGGUGAGGGGCGAGGCUGUGCGCAGCGUCGGGAGCGUUCUGCCCUCAGCCGGGGCCGCUCCUCUACCCGAAAGAGGCAAAAUCCCCGCUAAAGCCCCGCUUGCCUCCGCUCCGCUCCGUUCCGCUCGCUCGCCGCCUCUGUUCCUCUCUAGGGAUUUCAGUUCAUGUUGCCGGCUCGGCGGCAAGGGGGAGGAGGAGGAGGAGGAGGAGGAGGAGGAAAAAGGAGGGGGAGGAGGCGGUGGCACGCUCCGACGCCUCCCGCCCCCGCGGCCCCGCUGGCGGCUCCCGGCCCCGGCGAAGGCUCUGAUGCCCGGCAGCGGAUCGGGGAGCGGCGGGGUUGAGGCUGUGUCCGCCGGGUCUCCGCGGCCGCAGUUCCUGCACGCGGGGUCUUUUUCUUCUGGCGGAAAUGACGAGGUGGCUCCCGUCACCCGAAAAUAUCUCCCAGAGCGAUGGGAAGCGGCACCCGAAGGCCUCCCGGGGCGGGGGGGAGGUUGGGAUGAGUCGCUAGGCUAAGAAGUCCAAAGGAGAGCUGAAUGACUUUUCAUACUGACCUGCUUAAACUGAAGUGUCUCAGCCAAAGUGCCUUAACCAAAGUUUUUCAGCUGUUUUCAUCUUUUAGUUUAGUGGCCCCAUCUUGUAGUCACACCUGCAUGAGUCAGGACUUUUAUGUACAGCAUAUGGGGCAGGCUUCUGCACAGAUGCUGAACUGCAGAAUUAUGUCCUAACUCAUCUUUUAUGAUUACUUCAGUCUGCAUAAUGCAGUAAAAAUGACUGCGGUGUAUUGGUUUGUGUGGGGUUUUUUUGUUUGUUUGUUUUGUCUUUUUUUUUUUAAAUCUAAAUAUACAUGUCUUUAUAAGGAAACUCUUAAUGUAUUAUGUAGCAAAUGUAAAAGCAAAUGCACAGUGAAGCUCAAUAUUCAAGGAAAAAUUAUAGAAUCAUGGAUUGGCUUGAGUUGGAAGGGAGCUUAAAGCCCAUUUAGCCCCAACCCCUGCUGCCAUGGGCAGGGCUGCCCCUCCACCAGCUCAGGCUGCCCAGGGCCCUAUCCAACUUGGCCUUGAGCGCCUCCAGGGAUGAGGCACAACAGCUUCUCUGGGCAGUUGUACUAAGGCCUCACCUCAGUCUGAAUAAAGAAUUUUCUCCUGAUACCUAACCUAAAUCU
RNAcentral lists this long non-coding RNA (1342 nucleotides) under Coturnix japonica (Japanese quail). RNAcentral's name for it is "lncRNA (ENSCJPG00005017181.1)". The record is from RNAcentral. Lineage: Eukaryota; Metazoa; Chordata; Aves; Galliformes; Phasianidae.